AGCUCCAAUAGCGUAUAUUAAAGUUGUUGCAGUUAAAAAGCUCGUAGUUGAAUUUUGGGCCCGGUUGGUUGGUCUGCCAUUGGUAUGCACUUUCCGACUGGGCCUUUCCUUCUGGCGAACUAUUGUGCUAUUCAUUUAGUGCGAUAGGGAACCAGGACUUUUACUUUGAAAAAAUUAGAGUGUUUAAAGCAGGCUUACGCUUGAAUACAUUAGCAUGGAAUAAUAGAAUAGGACUUUGGUUUUAUUUUGUUGGUUUCUAAGACCGAAGUAAUGAUUAAUAGGGAUAGUUGGGGGCAUUAGUAUUUAAUCGUCAGAGGUGAAAUUCUUGGAUUGAUUAAAGACUAACUUCUGCGAAAGCAUUUGCCAAGGAUGUUUUCA
Molecule: ribosomal RNA, 378 nt
Filed under: uncultured eukaryote
Lineage: Eukaryota
Description: SSU rRNA
Rfam family: Eukaryotic small subunit ribosomal RNA
Source: RNAcentral